Molecule: ribosomal RNA, 251 nt
Filed under: uncultured bacterium
Lineage: Bacteria
Description: partial 16S ribosomal RNA
Rfam family: Bacterial small subunit ribosomal RNA
Source: RNAcentral
UACGGAGGAUCCAAGCGUUAUCCGGAAUCAUUGGGUUAAAGGGUCCGUAGGCGGUUAGUAAGUCAGUGGUGAAAGCCCAUCGCUCAACGGUGGAACGGCCAUUGAUACUGCUAGACUUGAAUUAUUAGGAAGUAACUAGAAUAUGUAGUGUAGCGGUGAAAUGCUUAGAGAUUACAUGGAAUACCAAUUGCGAAGGCAGGUUACUACUAAUGGAUUGACGCUGAUGGACGAAAGCGUGGGUAGCGAACAGG